Molecule: ribosomal RNA, 117 nt
Filed under: Clostridiales bacterium
Lineage: Bacteria; Bacillati; Bacillota; Clostridia; Eubacteriales
Source: RNAcentral
UCCAGUGACUAUAGCGGGGAGGCUACACCUGUUCCCAUCCCGAACACAGAAGUUAAGCUCCUUUGCGCCGACGAUACUUGGCGGGAGACCGCCCGGGAGAAUAGGGCGUCGCUGGUU